This is a long non-coding RNA of Tachysurus fulvidraco (yellow catfish), 985 nucleotides long. RefSeq lists it as uncharacterized. Lineage: Eukaryota; Metazoa; Chordata; Actinopteri; Siluriformes; Bagridae. The record is from RefSeq and is a predicted model, not a curated record. The transcript is spliced from 4 exons.
GUAUCGAGUCUCCAUGGUUGAUCCCAACAUGAGGAUACGCUUCACGUCUCAACAUCCCAAAGACUUUCCAGAUGAGGAAAUCUAAAUUACUGACACUAUUUGUUCUCUUUUGAUUUUUUACUAUUUUAUUAAUAUGAAAUAAUGCAUGCUGUUUAAUUUAAAAAAUGAACUAUUUUCUUUAAAAUAUUUUAUGUAGGUAUUACAUUUGAUCCAGGAGAGGAAUAACAUCUGUAAGCAGAUCCACCUCCCAGCUCAGAGUGGCAGCAGUCGAGUUUUACAGUCCAUGAGACGUGGCUACACCAGGGAGGCGUACCUCGAGUUGGUGGAAAACAUUCGAAAGAUAAUACCAGAGGUCAGUCUGAGCAGCGACUUCAUCGACACUGUCUCUGCUCCGGGAGGUGGGCUACAAUGUAGGCUUUCUGUUCGCAUACAGCAUGAGGAAGGUAAGCAGAAUCAUCACUGAACAAAACUGAGGGUUAUUUGUAGUCAGCGGUGAAACCAGAUCUCUUCGAUUCCCGAAAAUCGAAAAAAAUUGGAUUACAGAAAACACACUCAUAUCACCGUCUACACGAUAAUGUCCCUGUGGAGGUGAAGAAAAGGCGUCUGGAGGAGCUCAUAUCCGUGUUCAGAGAGGAAGCCUCUAAAUUGAACACAGCUCUCAUUGGGAGCACACAACUGGUCCUAGUGGAGGGAGAGAGUAAACGAUCGCCUGAGGAUCUCUGUGGUCGGAAUGACGGCAACGUAAAAGUGAUUUUUCCCAGAAAGGAUUUGCCCUCUGACCCCACAGGCAUUAAUACUGCCCCGGUUAAAGCUGGAGACUAUGUACUGGUGAAGAUUACUUCAGCAAACUCCCAGAGUCUGCGAGGCCACGCCCUCAGCCACACCUCCCUGAACUUAUGAGCAGCAGAAUAACGAACAGAACACUGUAUGUUAAUGUUAGUAUUAGUGAACCACGUUUAUUGAACAAAUUAUAAAUAUUGCUGUA